Molecule: long non-coding RNA, 251 nt
Filed under: Crocodylus porosus (Australian saltwater crocodile)
Lineage: Eukaryota; Metazoa; Chordata; Crocodylia; Crocodylidae
Description: lncRNA (ENSCPRG00005009605.1)
Source: RNAcentral
AUGACUCUUUUCCAUCGGGAAAAGUUUGUCAGGAAGCUUUCAGCUGAUAUACCAGGUAGGUGUGCUACAGCAGUGGAGAACAGGCUCCACUUUGACAGGCUUACUGAGUUACUGAAGACUCCCGGCACAAGAAGUGACUCAGCGGCUGCUUCACUGCCUGCUUCCUCCUAACCCCCAAAAGGUCUUUCUGACAUUCGUUUCCUUAAAGGGGUAUUUAGUUCUUUAUCAUGCAAGCAAUAGAAAGACAGGCA